UACGGAGGGUGCAAGCGUUAUCCGGAUUCACUGGGUUUAAAGGGUGCGUAGGUGGGUUAGUAAGUCAGUGGUGAAAUCUCCAGGCUUAACUUGGAAACUGCCAUUGAUACUAUCAAUCUUGAAUACCGUGGAGGUCAGCGGAAUAUGUCAUGUAGCGGUGAAAUGCUUAGAUAUGACAUAGAACACCAAUUGCGAAGGCAGCUGGCUACACGAAUAUUGACACUGAUGCACGAAAGCGUGGGGAUCAAACAGG
RNAcentral lists this ribosomal RNA (253 nucleotides) under uncultured bacterium. Its description in RNAcentral is "partial 16S ribosomal RNA". It matches the Rfam family "Bacterial small subunit ribosomal RNA", at positions 524 to 776 of the family's 1533-position model. The record is from RNAcentral.